This 1240-nucleotide ribosomal RNA is filed under the name Alistipes sp. EBA6-25cl2. RNAcentral describes it as "bacterial SSU rRNA". It matches the Rfam family "Bacterial small subunit ribosomal RNA", at positions 70 to 1319 of the family's 1533-position model. The record is from RNAcentral. Lineage: Bacteria; Pseudomonadati; Bacteroidota; Bacteroidia; Bacteroidales; Rikenellaceae.
GCAAUACACUGGUGGCGACCGGCGCACGGGUGCGUAACGCGUAUGCAACCUACCCAUAACAGGGGGAUAACACUGAGAAAUUGGUACUAAUACCCCAUAACAUCAGGACCGGCAUCGGUUCUGGUUGAAAACUCCGGUGGUUAUGGAUGGGCAUGCGUUGUAUUAGCUGGUUGGUGAGGUAACGGCUCACCAAGGCAACGAUACAUAGGGGGACUGAGAGGUUAACCCCCCACAUUGGUACUGAGACACGGACCAAACUCCUACGGGAGGCAGCAGUGAGGAAUAUUGGUCAAUGGACGCAAGUCUGAACCAGCCAUGCCGCGUGCAGGAAGACGGCUCUAUGAGUUGUAAACUGCUUUUGUACGAGGGUAAACGCUCUUACGUGUAAGAGCCUGAAAGUAUCGUACGAAUAAGGAUCGGCUAACUCCGUGCCAGCAGCCGCGGUAAUACGGAGGAUCCAAGCGUUAUCCGGAUUUAUUGGGUUUAAAGGGUGCGUAGGCGGUUUGAUAAGUUAGAGGUGAAAUACCGGUGCUUAACACCGGAACUGCCUCUAAUACUGUUGAACUAGAGAGUAGUUGCGGUAGGCGGAAUGUAUGGUGUAGCGGUGAAAAUGCUUAGAGAUCAUACAGAACACCGAUUGCGAAGGCAGCUUACCAAACUAUAUCUGACGUUGAGGCACGAAAGCGUGGGGAGCAAACAGGAUUAGAUACCCUGGUAGUCCACGCAGUAAACGAUGAUAACUCGCUGUCGGCGAUACACAGUCGGCGGCUAAGCGAAAGCGAUAAGUUAUCCCACNUGGGGAGUACGUUCGCAAGAAUGAAACUCAAAGGAAUUGACGGGGGCCCGCACAAGCGGAGGAACAUGUGGUUUAAUUCGAUGAUACGCGAGGAACCUUACCCCGGGCUUGAAAGUUACUGACGAUUCUGGAAACAGGAUUUCCCUUCGGGGCAGGAAACUAGGUGCUGCAUGGUUGUCGUCAGCUCGUGCCGUGAGGUGUCGGGUUAAGUCCCAUAACGAGCGCAACCCCUACCGUUAGUUGCCAUCAGGUCAAGCUGGGCACUCUGGCGGGACUGCCGNUGUAAGCCGAGAGGAAGGUGGGGAUGACGUCAAAUCAGCACGGCCCUUACGUCCGGGGCUACACACGUGUUACAAUGGUAGGUACAGAGGGCAGCUACCCAGUGAUGGGAUGCGAAUCUCGAAAGCCUAUCUCAGUUCGGAUCGGAGGCUGAAACCCGCCUCC